GACGAACGCUGGCGGCGUGCCUAAUACAUGCAAGUAGAACGCUGAAGGAGUAGCUUGCUUCUCUGGAUGAGUUGCGAACGGGUGAGUAACGCGUAGGUAACCUGCCUUUUAGCGGGGGAUAACUAUUGGAAACGAUAGCUAAUACCGCAUAAGAGUAGAUGUUGCAUGACAUUUGCUUAAAAGGUGCAAUUGCAUCACUACCAGAUGGAGCUGCGUUGUAUUAGCUUGUUGGUGUGGUAACGGCUCACCACGGCGACGAUACAUAGCCGAACUGAGAGGGGGAUCGGCCAGACUGGGAAGGAGACAGGGCACAGACGGCUAGGGGAGGGAGCAGGAGGGAUUCGGGGGGAAGGGAUGGAAGGCGGACCGAGAAACGCCGAGGCAGGGAAGAAGAUUGUCGGAUCGGAAAGAGCGGUUGUAAGAGAAGAAAGAGGGUGAGAGUGGAAAGAUCAGAGUGUGACGGUAACUGAUAAGAAAGGGACGGCUAACUACGUG
This 495-nucleotide ribosomal RNA is filed under the name uncultured bacterium. RNAcentral's name for it is "partial 16S ribosomal RNA". It matches the Rfam family "Bacterial small subunit ribosomal RNA", at positions 28 to 507 of the family's 1533-position model. The record is from RNAcentral.